UACGUAGGGUGCAAGCGUUGGUCCGGAAUUAUUGGGCGUAAAGAGCUCGUAGGUGGCCUGUCGCGUCGGCUGUCGGAAAACUACGGGGCUGCAACUCCGAGCGUUGGCAGUCGAUACGGGCAGGCUAGAGUUCGGCAGGGGAGACGUGGAAGUUCCUGGUGUAGCGGUGGAAAUGCGCAGAUAUCAGGAGGAACACCGGUGGCGAAGGCGGGUCUCUGGGCCGAUACUGACGCUGAGGAGCGAAAGCGUGGGGAGCGAACAGG
RNAcentral lists this ribosomal RNA (263 nucleotides) under uncultured bacterium. RNAcentral describes it as "partial 16S ribosomal RNA". It matches the Rfam family "Bacterial small subunit ribosomal RNA", at positions 524 to 776 of the family's 1533-position model. The record is from RNAcentral.